Molecule: long non-coding RNA, 2728 nt
Filed under: Nicotiana tabacum (common tobacco)
Lineage: Eukaryota; Viridiplantae; Streptophyta; Magnoliopsida; Solanales; Solanaceae
Description: long non-coding RNA (NTAB_LNC001780)
Source: RNAcentral
AUCUCAUAAACUUUCUCAUAUUAUGUGUGUAAUUGAAAGUAGUAAUAUUAAUAACUAUAUAAAAUCAUAUUUUUCAAACUGUUUUACAAAAAUAUUCCACUCAAAAUACCAUAUCAAAUAUAUAUAACGGUAUCAAGGUUGUUAAAAUUACCGGAUCUUAUAGUCACAAAUCUUCUAUAAUCUUAUUAAUGGUCUUAAUCCCUUCAAGCUCAUAUGGAUUACUACGACUUAUCUUAAUAUUAAAGUACGGGGUGUAACAUCCUUCCCCCCUUUAGAACAUUCGUCCUCGAAUGUUAACUCUUAGAGAUUUACAAAUUUUUCACUAGGGUCUCCUUUUUAAAUUAAACUAAAAGCCAAACUAUAUCUGAAGUCUCGACUAUUCACAACCUUUUGUACUUAAGUUUCUCGUAUCUUCUUCAACUUUACCUCACUUACCUUUCAAUAUUGCAUCGUAUCUUCUGUCGCUUUCAUAACCUCCCUUCCACAGAGGUGGAAAUUACGCCUUAAAGCUCUACUGUGAUACUUGCACCUGUGGUGCAUAUAAAAUCUGGCGAAAGCUUCGUACUGACUUCUUAUGACUCAGCUCUAUGGCACGAUCUGGAAACAAAAGAAGGGUAGCAUUUCCUAAAUGCCCUAUAGCCUCUAAAUUAUAAAUGUGGCGCGCAAAACACCCAUAACUGAGACUCUACUAGGCACGACUUUGUAGACUCCCUAGGACACGACCCGUUCUGAUACCACUUUGUCACGCUCCAAACCUGGAGAGGCGUGGCUGGCACCCAGUGCCGUACUGGCCCGAGCGAACCACUCUGUAACUCAUUUUUUUUUCUGCAACUAUCAUGGACCAACAUGGCCAAAACUCGUAAUGUAUAACUAUAAGUGGGAAAAAUACUGUAUCACUAAAUCAUUUUUCUUAAAACAUGAAUACAUAUGAGCCGUCAAGGUCUCUGCCAUACUGAAUAAAAUGAACCUCUGUCUACAAAGCCUCUAAGAUUAUUUGACAUCAAAUGAGACAGUGUAUCGGCCUACCCAUAAGUAUUUAGCAAAACUCUAACACGAUAACUCAUAGUCUCGGCUGUACUCCAAAUGAGGUAGAGUCUUACCGAUCCUUUGCUGAAUGUCAAUCUCGUCUACUAUGAGAGCUCAUCAAACUGAUUAUCUACACCUGCAGGCAUGAAUGCAGCGUCCCUAACAAAAGGACGUUAAUACGAAUAAUGUACUGAGUAUGUAAGGUAGAACUGAAACAUAACCAUAAUUCAACAUUAAUUAAAGACAUAUAAGAAUCAACCUGAAUCUCUGAAGUGCCACCGUAUAUGCGUACUCAUUAUACUUAUAUAUAUAUAUAUAUAUAUAAUGCUUCUCUUUGAGACUAUUAUAAGUAUCGUAUGAUGCAUGACUGCCCAACUGAUCAGUGGUAACUGCCCGACCGACCGUAGCUCGGUGGUAAAAGCAUAACUGCCCAACCGGUGGUAACUGUCCGACCGGCCGUAGCUAGGUGGUAGAUGUGUAACUGCCCAACCGGUCGUAGUACGGUGGUAAAUAUGUAACUGCCCAACCGGCCGUAGCACGGUGGUAAAUGUAUGACUGCCAUACUUCGUUAGGAAAUACAGUUGUAAUUUAGGCUACUGACUAUAAAAGGAACCAAAUGAAACGAAAACCAUUUUUUAGUGGAAGCCUUCUGCUCGGAGUAAUAUCCAUGAAAUGAAAAUUAUAUCUAUGGAAACACUCCAAAAAUGAAGCACCAAAUCUGUGUAAUUAGUACACAACCAAACUGAGCUACAAUUUCCUCUCACCCACUUAGUUAAGUAAGCUGCAAAUAAGUAUGAAUAUGGCCCGAGCAUCUUAAUAUCUUAUUACAUCAAAUCUGUCUCCGUCCUUUUCGUGCUUUCUCUAUAUCAUUAAAGGUAUUAAAAUUAAGGAUUAAAUUGGAACAAGAUCGUUCCCAGAACACGUAGAGGGGCUAGAAUGUGAUCUUAACAAAUCUCAGAAAAGUCAUGAACACAGGAUGCCAACUAUUACAUGUAAUUAAUAUCCUUAAAUUGAUAUGCAUGAUCUUUGGGGAAUGAAUAACAUAGACAUCCUUAACUUCUAAGAGUAGAACCACUUAUGGAAUAUCAUUACAUUUACGUCUCGUUACUGGGAUCAUGCCAAAAGAAAGAAGGAAUAACCUUAACAUACCUGAGUCGAUUCUCUUGAGAAAGAUUACACCGUACUCCCUUAAUAUUGUAAAAUCUCACGUUAAUUAAGGUGCUCUGAAAUCUCGGGUUUUUGAAGUGUUGAAGACACUAUCAUAUUUGUAUACAUGGGUUGGAUGAAGAAGGAGAAGAGCGCAAAGUAGUGUCAACUAUGCGUUCAAAAUAUUACUGCUCUUGCCAAACAUAAGUAGAUUAUAACUACUGUAUAGAAUAAAGGCACAUCUGAAAGGAAGAAAAGACACAUGACCUCAUCAAAAGCUUAAAGAAAGGCCUCAAAUAGCUUACCUUUUGAAUAAGGCAAAGCUCCAAGAAAAAAUUACUGUGUGAUGCUUUAUGGUCCAGCACAAAAACUACACUUCCAAGAAUAUUGAUUAGAAAAUAAUAAUGUUUGUAGGAAUCGGUGGUAAGAAAUUGUGUUGAAAAUUUAUAAGGAUUGCUAAGAUUGUAAUGUCUUGAGAAGGAAAUUUGUUGAAACUUAUCAGAAUGGCUAACGUCCCCCACUUUUCAUUGUAGUGUCUUUGAUAUGGAAAUUAUUA